This 89-nucleotide transfer RNA is filed under the name Variovorax sp. RNAcentral's name for it is "tRNA-Leu". It matches the Rfam family "tRNA". Rfam says of the family: Transfer RNA (tRNA) molecules are approximately 80 nucleotides in length. Their secondary structure includes four short double-helical elements and three loops (D, anti-codon, and T loops). Lineage: Bacteria; Pseudomonadati; Pseudomonadota; Betaproteobacteria; Burkholderiales; Comamonadaceae. The record is from RNAcentral.
GCCCGGAUGGUGAAACUGGUAGACACAUCGGACUUAAAAUCCGCCGACUGUAAAAGGUCAUACCGGUUCGAUUCCGGUUCCGGGCACCA